UUGCAGUUGAUACUGUCAGUCUUGAGUACAGUAGAGGUGGGCGGAAUUCGUGGUGUAGCGGUGAAAUGCUUAGAUAUCACGAAGAACUCCGAUUGCGAAGGCAGCUCACUGGACUGCAACUGACACUGAUGCUCGAAAGUGUGGGUAUCAAACAGGAUUAGAUACCCUGGUAGUCCGCACAGUAAACGAUGAAUACUCGCUGUUUGCGAUAUACAGUAAGCGGCCAAGCGAAAGCAUUAAGUAUUCCACCUGGGGAGUACGCCGGCAACGGUGAAACUCAAAGGAAUUGACGGGGGCCCGCACAAGCGGAGGAACAUGUGGUUUAAUUCGAUGAUACGCGAGGAACCUUACCCGGGCUUAAAUUGCAGUGGAAUGAUGUGGAAACAUGUCAGUGAGCAAUCACCGCUGUGAAGGUGCUGCAUGGUUGUCGUCAGCUCGUGCCGUGAGGUGUCGGCUUAAGUGCCAUAACGAGCGCAACCCUUAUCUUCAGUUACUAACAGGUCAUGCUGAGGACUCUGGAGAGACUGCCGUCGUAAGAUGUGAGGAAGGUGGGGAUGACGUCAAAUCAGCACGGCCCUUACGUCCGGGGCUACACACGUGUUACAAUGGGGGGUACAGAAGGCAGCUAGCGGGUGACCGUAUGCUAAUCCCAAAAUCCUCUCUCAGUUCGGAUCGAAGUCUGCAACCCGACUUCGUGAAGCUGGAUUCGCUAGUAAUCGCGCAUCAGCCACGGCGCGGUGAAUACGUUCCCGGGCCUUGUACACACCGCCCGUCAAGCCAUGGGAGCCGGGGGUACCUGAAGUACGUAACCGCAAGGAUCGUCCUAGGGUAAAACUGGUGACUGGGGCUAAGUCGUAACAAGGUAACCA
Molecule: ribosomal RNA, 869 nt
Filed under: uncultured bacterium
Lineage: Bacteria
Description: bacterial SSU rRNA
Rfam family: Bacterial small subunit ribosomal RNA
Source: RNAcentral